This is a long non-coding RNA of Cavia porcellus (domestic guinea pig), 1097 nucleotides long. Lineage: Eukaryota; Metazoa; Chordata; Mammalia; Rodentia; Caviidae. The record is from Ensembl.
UUUUUCUGAGUGCUCUUCUCAGCUUCUCUCCCCUCUGCUUCUUUCUCCCCUCCUCUCCCCUCCCCUCUGCUCCCCUUCUCUCCCUCCUUCCCUGGCAGCCCCCCACCUUCUCCCCUUUUUCUUCUUCCUUCCCUCUUCUCCUCUCCCCCCAGCUCCCUCCUCCUCCCCCUCCUGUACCUUCUCUCUCCCCCUCCCUCUGCAGCGCCCCCUACCUCCUCCUACCGCUCCUCAGCCCUCAGAAACCCUCUUCCCACUCCCUCCUCCUGCACUCCAACGCCUGCUGUGUGGACAGGGUGCAGCACCCCAGGGAGAGCAGGAUUAGGCAGCUGGGGGACCCCCUGGACCAGGAGUCCACUGGCGGGAGAAGUCACUGCUGCAUCCCGCAGCCCUGGGAGCUGUUCACCAAGCUCGGCCACCUGUGCACCCCACCCCCACCCCGCCCGCCGGUGCUGCUUCUCUUUGGAAUCCUCAGUGGGGCCGGAGGAAGUCCAUGACUCAGGAAGGGUCCCUGGAUACCCUGAGGACCCGAAGACUCAUCUCUGCACAAUGGAGUCCCCGGGACAGCCCUGAUUGGUUCUGACAUCUCCCUGGACAGCUGUCCUGUUCUUUGGUCCAGAGCUCUGCUUCUUUUCAGUGCUCCACUAUCAUCCACGUUUUAUCUGUUUUCUCUUUUUCUUUGAAGAUGAACUAAGCAAGGAAGUCCGACCGGAUAAAUUGCUGCAGGUGGUUUUGGGGAGACAGGCAUCCCAUCUUUCUAAUGCUUUCCUAAACCACAGUUAAAUUUUAUGUGGGUGAUUUGGGCAUAUCUUGUCUGGGCUCAGUGGUGGCUGGGCUCAGUCCUGUCCUGUACCAAACCCUGUCAUUUCUUUAGGCCUUGAGCCCCAUGUAGCCCCAGCUACUCUGGAGGCUGAGGCAGGAGGAUCACUUAACUCAAGGCUUCAAGGACAGCCUGGGAAACAGAGAGACCUCCAUCUCAAAGAAAAUAAAAGUCAUGUCUUUCCCUAGUGCUAUGAAAUGACCAUAUUUCCUCUCUGCCAAAUGAUUAAAGAAGCUCUUUUAAGUGGCACAUUGUUGCUAAGAAACAGCUUUAAAGUUAC